RNAcentral lists this transfer RNA (72 nucleotides) under Chelonia mydas (Green sea turtle). It matches the Rfam family "tRNA". Rfam says of the family: Transfer RNA (tRNA) molecules are approximately 80 nucleotides in length. The record is from Rfam by way of RNAcentral. Lineage: Eukaryota; Metazoa; Chordata; Testudines; Cheloniidae.
AGCUGUGUGGUCUAGUAGCUGGGACUCCUCACUAGAACUGAGGAGACCUGGGUUCUAUUCUUGGCUCUGCCC